Molecule: RNase P RNA, 380 nt
Filed under: Allochromatium warmingii
Lineage: Bacteria; Pseudomonadati; Pseudomonadota; Gammaproteobacteria; Chromatiales; Chromatiaceae
Description: Bacterial RNase P class A
Rfam family: Bacterial RNase P class A
About the family: Ribonuclease P (RNase P) is a ubiquitous endoribonuclease, found in archaea, bacteria and eukarya as well as chloroplasts and mitochondria.
Source: Rfam by way of RNAcentral
GGAGCUGACCAGACAGUCGCUCUUUCCACGCCAAACACGCGGAAUGGGAGGAAAGUCCGGGCUCCAUCGGGCAGGGUGCCAGGUAACACCUGGGAGGCGCAAGCCUACGGAAAGUGCCACAGAAAAGAUACCGCCGGUUGCGGCUUGCGCCAACGCCGGUAAGGGUGAAAAGGUGCGGUAAGAGCGCACCGCGCCGCUGGCAACAGUGGUGGCAGGGUAAACCCCACCCGGAGCAAGACCAAAUAGGGGAACACGCCGCUUCGAGCGGCAGCGUGCGGCCCGUGCGCGUUCCCGGGUAGGUCGCACGAGGCGUGCGGUGACGCACGUCCCAGAUGAAUGACUGUCCUCGACAGAACCCGGCUUAUCGGUCGGCUCCUGAC